CCGGCGACCGGCGCACGGGUACGUAACGCGUAUGUAACCUACCUAUAACAGGGGCAUAACACUGAGAAAUUGGUACUAAUUCCCCAUAAUAUUCGGAGAGGCAUCUCUCCGGGUUGAAAACUCCGGUGGUUAUAGAUGGACAUGCGUUGUAUUAGCUAGUUGGUGAGGUAACGGCUCACCAAGGCAACGAUACAUAGGGGGACUGAGAGGUUAACCCCCCACACUGGUACUGAGACACGGACCAG
RNAcentral lists this ribosomal RNA (245 nucleotides) under uncultured bacterium. RNAcentral's name for it is "partial 16S ribosomal RNA". It matches the Rfam family "Bacterial small subunit ribosomal RNA", at positions 88 to 334 of the family's 1533-position model. The record is from RNAcentral.